AAAUUGAAGAGUUUGAUCAUGGCUCAGAUUGAACGCUGGCGGCAGGCCUAACACAUGCAAGUCGAGCGGUAGCACAGAGAGCUUGCUCUCGGGUGACGAGCGGCGGACGGGUGAGUAAUGUCUGGGAAACUGCCUGAUGGAGGGGGAUAACUACUGGAAACGGUAGCUAAUACCGCAUAAUGUCGCAAGACCAAAGUGGGGGACCUUCGGGCCUCAUGCCAUCAGAUGUGCCCAGAUGGGAUUAGCUAGUAGGUGGGGUAACGGCUCACCUAGGCGACGAUCCCUAGCUGGUCUGAGAGGAUGACCAGCCACACUGGAACUGAGACACGGUCCAGACUCCUACGGGAGGCAGCAGUGGGGAAUAUUGCACAAUGGGCGCAAGCCUGAUGCAGCCAUGCCGCGUGUGUGUGAAGAAGGCCUUCGGGUUGUAAAGCACUUUCAGCGGGGAGGAAGGCGGUGAGGUUAAUAACCUCAUCGAUUGACGUUACCCGCAGAAGAAGCACCGGCUAACUCCGUGCCAGCAGCCGCGGUAAUACGGAGGGUGCAAGCGUUAAUCGGAAUUACUGGGCGUAAAGCGCACGCAGGCGGUCUGUCAAGUCGGAUGUGAAAUCCCCGGGCUCAACCUGGGAACUGCAUUCGAAACUGGCAGGCUAGAGUCUUGUAGAGGGGGGUAGAAUUCCAGGUGUAGCGGUGAAAUGCGUAGAGAUCUGGAGGAAUACCGGUGGCGAAGGCGGCCCCCUGGACAAAGACUGACGCUCAGGUGCGAAAGCGUGGGGAGCAAACAGGAUUAGAUACCCUGGUAGUCCACGCCGUAAACGAUGUCGAUUUGGAGGUUGUGCCCUUGAGGCGUGGCUUCCGGAGCUAACGCGUUAAAUCGACCGCCUGGGGAGUACGGCCGCAAGGUUAAAACUCAAAUGAAUUGACGGGGGCCCGCACAAGCGGUGGAGCAUGUGGUUUAAUUCGAUGCAACGCGAAGAACCUUACCUGGUCUUGACAUCCACAGAACUUUCCAGAGAUGGAUUGGUGCCUUCGGGAACUGUGAGACAGGUGCUGCAUGGCUGUCGUCAGCUCGUGUUGUGAAAUGUUGGGUUAAGUCCCGCAACGAGCGCAACCCUUAUCCUUUGUUGCCAGCGGUCCGGCCGGGAACUCAAAGGAGACUGCCAGUGAUAAACUGGAGGAAGGUGGGGAUGACGUCAAGUCAUCAUGGCCCUUACGACCAGGGCUACACACGUGCUACAAUGGCAUAUACAAAGAGAAGCGACCUCGCGAGAGCAAGCGGACCUCAUAAAGUAUGUCGUAGUCCGGAUUGGAGUCUGCAACUCGACUCCAUGAAGUCGGAAUCGCUAGUAAUCGUAGAUCAGAAUGCUACGGUGAAUACGUUCCCGGGCCUUGUACACACCGCCCGUCACACCAUGGGAGUGGGUUGCAAAAGAAGUAGGUAGCUUAACCUUCGGGAGGGCGCUUACCACUUUGUGAUUCAUGACUGGGGUGAAGUCGUAACAAGGUAACCGUAGGGGAACCUGCGGUUGGAUCACCUCCUUACCUUAAAGAA
Molecule: ribosomal RNA, 1552 nt
Filed under: Klebsiella pneumoniae
Lineage: Bacteria; Pseudomonadati; Pseudomonadota; Gammaproteobacteria; Enterobacterales; Enterobacteriaceae
Description: bacterial SSU rRNA
Rfam family: Bacterial small subunit ribosomal RNA
Source: RNAcentral